AAACUAAAUAGAGUCUGGCUCAUUAUUACAUCAUAACUCUCACAAGAGUAUUUUUGAUUAAAACAUGGGAGGAAAACUAAGGUUUCUAUCUACUGUUCUGCCUGCUCCUCCAUCCUAGUCAGCUCUUCGGCUCCGAAAGCUUCCAAGUUAUAAAAGUUGCAAUUAGUAUAUCCAAAAGACAUGCAUUAUCAAAUAACUUACCGAAAGGUCCUGGUCUCAGACUGGGUUCGUUAUGGGGCGAUGAUCAACUAUCAUCUUGAAUCGCCCCGUAGUAGAUAGGCCCCAUUUUAGCAGCGUCUUGACCACCAUUAUUACUUAUAUGACCCAACAAAGCAACCUAGUAAAUUGCAUAACAAUUCAGUCUAAAUGAUAGAUCUAUGAACAGUACAAUAGAGACAAAAUAUCAAGCACUGGAAAUAAGUGAGAGGUAAUCAUAAGAGAAUAUUCAAUUUCUCACAAACCUAACCAAUAGCAUCAGUUUCAAUUUCUCAUAGACGAAAAAUAACCAUUGUUUAUGCAAAUACUCAAAAAAAUUUCCAGUUUCAGCUCACAGAGAGAAAAUACCAAGCACUGGAAAUAAGUGAGCAGUACUCAUAAGAGACUGUCCAAUUUCGCACAAACCUAACCAAUAGAAUUAGUAUCAAUUCUCACAGAUGAAAAAUAACCAUUGUCCGUUUUGCAAAUUGUCAGAAAUUUAUACAAUAUCAGCUCACUGGUAAUGUUGCAGCUCGUCAUUAAUUUUGUGGCUACAUUUUCUUCUGGAGAUGUCCCACUAAAUUCAAUUUCUUCUCAGUACAACAGAGUUAGACUCGAAUGGAUUAGUUGCUGACUGAACGAUGGCAGAAUCAUGGUUGAAUCAGCGCUUGCAGCUAAGGCAUAGGCAAUCCGUUUGGCUUGCUCCAUGGCCAGAGCUUGGGGAGAAGGGAAGGCAAUUAUCGAAUCGGAUGGCGCUACUCUCAUCUAGAUGUUAUCUCUACAUACAGACAAGGGGGAUUGGAGCAUACAGACUAUCCUUGAGGAUAUUUUUGCUCGAUCUACUAAUGAGGAUCAUAUUUUAUGCUUUUGGUUACAUUUUCUUGUGAGUAGGAUUGAGAAAUAUGGUAGAUAUAAAGUCCCACUAAAUAUGGGACGUACAACACUAUAAGGAUGUCGUGUUGUUAAUUCUCCCGUUAUUAGUCUAGUGGGAUUAUUUAUCACAAGGAAUAGUAUAGCCUUUCCCCUUAGAAGCCCAAUCAAGGACCCAGAUGCGAAAAUGGAUAUGGGACACGAACACAGUGAAAGACACCUCAUAAACUACAGCUAAAAUAAAAAGAUAAGUGGCCAAUAACAUAUCGUCGAACAACCAAAAUGAAGGAAAAUUAACUUAGCAAAAGAACGAUCUCUAGCACUAAUUUGGUAUAAUUUGAUCCAUCAAAAUACUAACAAGUAACAACAAAGUGAGUUAAGUUUGCUGCCAUUUGAUUCCAAAAAUAAGUUUGAUAUGUUAUGAAGUGACCACUUGGUGUCCACAGGUGUCUCAAUUGAGGUUUGUCCUUGACGUGUCUUGUAGACGACCCCUAGUGAUAUAAUUGUUUCAAUACGCCUCUUGGCAUGUCCCAUAUGUACCCCAUGUUUCCCUUUGUUUAUGUGUCCUUGGCAUGUCUUAAAUGAAUGUGGCAACCGUUUAGGCAUGUUGAUUCGUCAUAGCCUUCUUUGUUAUUUCAGUCAAACAACUGGUGCUAAUGCAUUCUGAAUUCUGAAAGUAUUUGCUGACACCACAUAUGGUUUUU
Molecule: long non-coding RNA, 1769 nt
Organism: Rhododendron vialii
Lineage: Eukaryota; Viridiplantae; Streptophyta; Magnoliopsida; Ericales; Ericaceae
Exons: 3
Source: RefSeq, a predicted model, not a curated record